Molecule: ribosomal RNA, 563 nt
Filed under: uncultured Penicillium
Lineage: Eukaryota; Fungi; Ascomycota; Eurotiomycetes; Eurotiales; Aspergillaceae
Description: eukaryotic LSU rRNA
Rfam family: 5.8S ribosomal RNA (bases 223-375)
Source: RNAcentral
AAGUCGUAACAAGGUUUCCGUAGGUGAACCUGCGGAAGGAUCAUUACCGAGUGAGGGCCCUCUGGGUCCAACCUCCCACCCGUGUUUAUUUUACCUUGUUGCUUCGGCGGGCCCGCCUUAACUGGCCGCCGGGGGGCUUACGCCCCCGGGCCCGCGCCCGCCGAAGACACCCUCGAACUCUGUCUGAAGAUUGUAGUCUGAGUGAAAAUAUAAAUUAUUUAAAACUUUCAACAACGGAUCUCUUGGUUCCGGCAUCGAUGAAGAACGCAGCGAAAUGCGAUACGUAAUGUGAAUUGCAAAUUCAGUGAAUCAUCGAGUCUUUGAACGCACAUUGCGCCCCCUGGUAUUCCGGGGGGCAUGCCUGUCCGAGCGUCAUUGCUGCCCUCAAGCACGGCUUGUGUGUUGGGCCCCGUCCUCCGAUCCCGGGGGACGGGCCCGAAAGGCAGCGGCGGCACCGCGUCCGGUCCUCGAGCGUAUGGGGCUUUGUCACCCGCUCUGUAGGCCCGGCCGGCGCUUGCCGAUCAACCCAAAUUUUUAUCCAGGUGACCUCGGAUCAGGUAGGA